GUAAUGACCGCUCGGUGCUCCAUGGCUCGAGAAUUGUCGGGAUGAAGAAGACCCUUGUAUUUCACAGUGGCCGUGCUCCGGGUGGCCAGCGGACCAAUUGGAUAAUGCAUGAGUACAGGCUUGUGGAUGAUGAAUUGGUGAAAGCCUUGCGGGUGAGACUCUAAAUCAAUGCCUGUAUCUGUCGUAUUUCUUCACGCUUUGCUUGGUUGUUGAGAAAAUGCAAGAAAAGAAAAGGAACAAAAGUCAUUUACGGACUUAUUUGAUAGUGAAAAAUGAACUAAUUUUUUCAAAAAUGAUCAGAAAAUAACGAAACGGGACAGUUUCUGGAUCUACUUAAAAAAAAAAUUGUAUCUUUCAAAUCACGGAAAAUAAUAUUUUAAAUUUUUUGAAAAUGAACUAGUCUUUGAAAUGUGUUGCCAAUUAUGUUUUAGUUGUUAUUUUAUUUUUUUCCAUCUUCAACAUGAAGGAAACAUUUUUAUUUCCGUGGCCAAACAAGUUGAGAACUUUUUCAAUCUUAUACUUUCCAUUGUUUGGUACUGAUGGAAAAAAAAAAAAAAAGGAUCUUUUUUCGGUUGGCAAUUGUACCAUCAUUUAGUUUAUUUGAGUUGAUUCUUCCUUUUCUUUUUCCUUUUUUUUUUGUAACUACAAAAACGAUUUAAACGUAAGAUUCAAAAUUUCUCUCUUUUGUUUUUUUCCAUCAGUUUUCUUGGCAAUCAAAUUGAGGCAAUUGUUUUCUUUGGGAUUUAUAAAUCUCGUGUUAAUCAUUUGUAGCUUGUUCUUUUUUGGUGGGUAAGGAUUCAUACGUGGUGUGUAGAGUUUUUCUUAAGAGUGAAAUAGGUCCUCCCCACAAAGACCGUUAUGCCCCCUUUAUUGAGGAGGAAUGGGAUGAUGACAAGACAGGCUCGUCUCAGGGAGGAAAAUCUGUAGAUGAAGCUAUAGUUGAUAGCAAGGCAUGUAUUGAAGAGAGUGAUCUUGAGCAGGUAUGUGUCUAUCCUCACAUUUCAAACAUUUUACCCCAAUUGAACUUAUAUGAUAAUGGAUAAAUUCUUCUGAGCUGUACUGAUGAGAAAUCAUUUUGCCAAGCUGUUAUUAGCUGCAAUUUUUUUCUCGGGGUGUUUUGAAUGUUUCUCCAAUUUUGAAUCAACAAACUAGAGGAUAAGAAUUAAAGAAAACCCUUCUCUUUGAAAGUGAACAUCAACCCUAGAAUUUCUCCUUUAUCUUGUGGCACUGAUAUGGUUCUUUGAAAAUUUUUUGACCCUUUAAAGGAUUUAUUUUUCAGUGGCUUAAGCAUCAAUUGGAAACUCCACAUUCUUUUUACUGUUCAUGUUGAAGCUUUCUAGCCCCUUUUUAAUGAACAAGAUUCCUAUAUUUUUUAUUCUUUCGGGAAAAAAAAGCACAAACUACCUGAAUUCGAACUAUUUCUCCCCCUUGUUUGCCAUUUUGAAUUUUUUUUGGUUGGUUGGGGGCCAUAACUAAAGUCGCAUUCAUCACAUGCGUCUGUUUGAUUCAUUGAAACCACGUAGAUUACCCAUUUAACCAGGAAAUUGCCUUUAUAAUUGAUUUGUUUAUUGCACUACACUACUAAAUGGUGAUUGUGCUCUUUCAACAUUGCUUAUAUCAGGUGUUACAUUUACUCUAUCUACUUUAACAUAUGGUUGAAUUUUUGAACAUGUAUCCAAGAAAUGCAUCUUACUUUUUGGUUUAUUGUUGCAGGAUGCUCAAUCCACUACACUUAGGCAAAGUGAGCAUCUAAAAAACUCUGGAAGUGUUUUAUCUCUUUCCCCGAGUGAGAGGUUGGAGGAUUGCCCCUUGACAUGUACUGUUAAUAAAGAGUCGACGAUUUUUCCUAAUAAAAGAUCAAGGCAUGAUGAUCUGAAUCCUCAACAUUCAGAUGCUUCAGAAAGCUCACUGAUGACCAUUCAAGAAUGUACAAUAACAAAAAAAAGUUCUCCACCUUCUAUCUUUGGAUUUCCCCUUGUGGAACUUAAUGGGAAGAAAGAAUGUCAAAUUAAAAAGGAACUUCCUACAGCUCCGUCCGGUACAUUUGUGGAACUUAAUGGGAAGAAAGAGAGCCAAAUCAAAAAGGAAAUUUCUACAGCUCCUCACUCUGCUACAGUGGUGGAACUUAAGGGGAUGAAAGAAAGUGAGAUAAAAAACGAAGUUUCUAGAACUCCCCCAGCCACGUUUGAUAUCAGUGAUGGUAAUGCAACUUUGCCUCCCAGCUAUUUGAAGUAUAUUACUUACUUGGAAGAUAAGGUCCGUGAAAUGUCUGCUGAGAGGGAAAGAUUGAAAGCUGAUAUGAUGCAGGCCGAGUCCAUUGUUAAUGCUUACAAAUCUCGAAUUGAUAUAACCCUAAACAACGGAAAUGAGGACUGAGAACUGCCAGAUGUGGGUAGCAAUGGACGUGGCCAAUGCUAUACAUAAUUUUCCCUUAUUUUCUGUCAUUGGCUAAUGGUAGGGCCCUGUCCAUCAAUUUAGUUGUGAAUACAACUCAACCUUCCCCAAAAUUACGAAAUAGAACAUUCUGUUGCUGCCCACUCUACUGUUGUUUUAGGAAUGUGAAAUAGUUUGGAUUUCAUUCCUCGGAAGCUUUAAAUUAGAAAUGGUCUUGUUGUAAGGUACGGACCUAUAAUGGAAAUUUCAUGGGAAAGGGUGGGGGAUCAGCGUCAUUCACACUAGAGGGCCACCCUUUUUUCUUUUUCUUUUCCUUUUCCUUUUCAUUUUCAUCAGAUGUUGUUUUGCAGGUUGAAUGAGUGAGUGGUUGGUUGGUUAUAGAUUAGGUGAUUGAUAUUAUUGCUAGUGCUUAAGAAGUAAGGUUUUACCUGGGAAAGCUUACUUUAUAGUAUUGGAGAAAUGCGCCAGCAGCAAGUUGCUUUUGAGCCGUCCGCUCCAAGUUACUUGCUAGUUAAGGAACUUGAUGGUGAUGUGUUUAUGCACGGGGGGACAAAGUUGGAAUAAAUAGCUGACAGGCAGGGGUGGAAGCUUUCGCAGUCUUUAUCAAUUUUUCCUUUUCUCCUUCUUUACCUUGCAACAUAAUCCGAAGCCUGGGAGGGAAGGUCACGAGAGUCCUGGUUUGUUUAGGGAUUGGAUCAUGCCUACUCACAUGGUAACUAAUUUUGCGGUGCUCUUUAGGAUCGUUUAUAUAGAAUUGGGAAAUCCUAGCUUGCCAUUAGUUUAUGAGCAUGAAAGCAAAAUUCCAGACUUAGGUUAUAAUGACGUAUCAGAUUGAUAUAAAAUAGGGAAAAAAUCUAAUGAGAUUGAUAUAAAAUAGGGAAACGUGCUUGUUUGAGUACAAGAUAAAAAUAAAUAUUCAUCAGUCCUAUCAUCAACUAUGAAUAGGAAAAUCCGUCUUGUAGUCGAGUCUUUUUAGGUGAUUAUUCAUAAUUUUUUUAUUCUUUUUUCACUGGUCACCUGAAUUUUCCAAUAAUGAUAUAUAUAGAUUUUAAAUAAAAUUAUUUUAAAUCAUAUGCUAUUUUUAUUUAUAAAAUUUGCUCGAAAUUUUGGAAGAUUUUAGAUUAUUAUUAUUUUUAUUUAUGGUAUUAAUUUCAAUUUUUGGGUAAGAAUUUCUAAAAAAGAAUUGACUUAGAAUUUGUUGGAAAUAUAAAAGAGCAUUUUUGUUAUUGGGCAUUUGUUAAUUUAUAAUAGUAAAUUAAUUUUUUUAUUUAAAUUAGAAGAUUUGGAUAAAUCGAUUUAAUUGUCAAGCCUAGGGCUUGUGGAAAUUUUCAAUGAUAAGUUUAGUUUUAGUUUUGAUGAAAAUUUGAAUUUGAAAAUCAUAACCAAUUAACAAUCAUUUAAAGAUAAUCUUAAUUUAAUAAAUUUAAAAAUAUUAAAAAAAGGCAAAGAUAUUUCUAAUUUUUAAAAAAAUUAAAAUUAAUAGUGGAGGUGGUGUUGUAUUAGAACUUGGAAGAUUCCAGCCCAUUUGAUUUUUCCCGUGACGGACGCAUAUACGUCACCACACCGUAACGGUGUAACUCCAAAAGUCCAAACGUAUACAAAAAUCUGUAGCCGUUCAUGUCCACAGUCAAGUGGACCCCACAGGACUCAUCUUCCGCCACGUGACAGCGGGUGAAAUUCACAAGUCACCGUUAGGCUCACAAUAAAUUUACUCCGCCCUUCUCACUUUCCCGGAAACAUCUUAAUAUAUUUGUCGUGCGCCUGAGCCAACGAUACAUUUCCCAGGAACGACUUGACCAAAUGGCCUACCCAGUCCUUUUCUGCUUUCGAUCAAAACCCUAACCCUAAUUUUAUUUAUUACUCUAUUCAAAAUCCGUCUUUCAGUUCAAUUCUUGAAGAUCCGUCUGUUAUGGGACGUGAAUCAGCGGCAUCCUUGGCUCCGGGUUUCCGAUUUCACCCCACCGAUGAGGAACUUGUGUGGUACUACCUCAAGCGCAAGGUCUGUGGCAAGCUCUUCCGAUUCGACACAAUCUCCGAAAUCGACAUCUACAAGUCCGAGCCUUGGGACCUCCCAGGUUUGUCUCUCUUAUUCUGAUGAAUUUCUUGAUAUCACGUCUUUUCCCCUGUCUUUUAUCUUUCUGAAUCUUUAGCUUUUCUUCUAGGUCCGGCCGCCAGAGCUUUCUUCCUAAAUUGAUUUUGGUCUUUGAAUUCUGGUAUUUUUUUGGGUGGUGUUUUAGGUCAGUCCAAGCUGAAGAGUAGGGACCUGGAAUGGUAUUUCUUCAGUGUGCUGGACAAGAAGUAUGGGAACGGGUCGAGGACGAAUCGCGCCACGGACAGAGGGUACUGGAAGACCACGGGCAAGGACCGGGAGGUUCGUCACAGAGCCCGAACCGUUGGGAUGAAGAAAACCCUUGUGUAUCACAGUGGGCGAGCUCCUCGUGGGGAGCGGACUAAUUGGGUGAUGCAUGAGUACAGGCUUAUGGAUGAAGAAUUGAAGAAAACAGGCGUGGC
RNAcentral lists this long non-coding RNA (4905 nucleotides) under Vitis vinifera (wine grape). RNAcentral describes it as "long non-coding RNA (VVIN_LNC004099)". The record is from RNAcentral. Lineage: Eukaryota; Viridiplantae; Streptophyta; Magnoliopsida; Vitales; Vitaceae.